AUCAUUAACUGAAUCCAUAGGUUAAUGAGGCGAACCGGGGGAACUGAAACAUCUAAGUACCCCGAGGAAAAGAAAUCAACCGAGAUUCCCCCAGUAGCGGCGAGCGGACGGGGAGCAGCCCAGAGCCUGAAUCAGUGUGUGUGUUAGUGGAAGCGUCUGGAAAGGCGUGCGAUACAGGGUGACAGCCCCGUACACAAAAAUGCACAUAUUGUGAGCUUGAUGAGUAGGGCGGGACACGUGGUAUCCUGUCUGAAUAUGGGGGGACCAUCCUCCAAGGCUAAAUACUCCUGACUGACCGAUAGUGAACCAGUACCGUGAGGGAAAGGCGAAAAGAACCCCGGCGAGGGGAGUGAAAAAGAACCUGAAACCGUGUACGUACAAGCAGUGGGAGCACGCUUAGGCGUGUGACUGCGUACCUUUUGUAUAAUGGGUCAGCGACUUAUAUUCUGUAGCAAGGUUAACCGAAUAGGGGAGCCGAAGGGAAACCGAGUCUUAACUGGGCGUUAAGUUGCAGGGUAUAGACCCGAAACCCGGUGAUCUAGCCAUGGGCAGGUUGAAGGUUGGGUAACACUAACUGGAGGACCGAACCGACUAAUGUUGAAAAAUUAGCGGAUGACUUGUGGCUGGGGGUGAAAGGCCAAUCAAACCGGGAGAUAGCUGGUUCUCCCCGAAAGCUAUUUAGGUAGCGCCUCGUGAAUUCAUCUCCGGGGGUAGAGCACUGUUUCGGCAAGGGGGUCAUCCCGACUUACCAACCCGAUGCAAACUGCGAAUACCGGAGAAUGUUAUCACGGGAGACACACGGCGGGUGCUAACGUCCGUCGUGAAGAGGGAAACAACCCAGACCGCCAGCUAAGGUCCCAAAGUCAUGGUUAAGUGGGAAACGAUGUGGGAAGGCCCAGACAGCCAGGAUGUUGGCUUAGAAGCAGCCAUCAUUUAAAGAAAGCGUAAUAGCUCACUGGUCGAGUCGGCCUGCGCGGAAGAUGUAACGGGGCUAAACCAUGCACCGAAGCUGCGGCAGCGACGCUUAUGCGUUGUUGGGUAGGGGAGCGUUCUGUAAGCCUGCGAAGGUGUGCUGUGAGGCAUG
Molecule: ribosomal RNA, 1084 nt
Filed under: Escherichia coli
Lineage: Bacteria; Pseudomonadati; Pseudomonadota; Gammaproteobacteria; Enterobacterales; Enterobacteriaceae
Description: partial 23S ribosomal RNA
Rfam family: Bacterial large subunit ribosomal RNA
Source: RNAcentral